GAUGAAGAACGCAGCGAAAUGCGAUAAGUAAUGUGAAUUGCAGAAUUCAGUGAAUCAUCGAAUCUUUGAACGCACCUUGCGCUCUUUGGUAUUCCGAAGAGCAUGCCUGUUUGAGUGUCAUGAAAAUAUCAACCUUGACUUGGGUUUUGUGCUCUAGUCUCGGCUUGGAAUUGGGUGCUUGCCGCUUUUACGAGCGGCUCACCUUAAAUGUAUUAGCUGGAUCUGUCUUUGAGACUUGGUUUGACUUGGCGUAAUAAGUAUUUCGCUAAGGACAUUCUUCGGAGUGGCCUCGUUUCUAGGACGCUUGUCCGCUUUCCAAUACAAGUUCCACCUCGUGGACAUGACUUUUUAUUAUCUGGCCUCAAAUCAGGUAGGACUACCCGCUGAACCUAAGCAUAUCAAUAAGCGGAGGA
RNAcentral lists this unclassified non-coding RNA (413 nucleotides) under soil metagenome. RNAcentral describes it as "partial contains 5.8S ribosomal RNA, internal transcribed spacer 2, and large subunit ribosomal RNA". The stretch from base 1 to 120 matches the Rfam family "5.8S ribosomal RNA", at positions 35 to 154 of the family's 154-position model. The record is from RNAcentral.